AGUGAACGCUGGCGGUAGGCCUAACACAUGCAAGUCGAACGGCAGCACAGUAAGAGCUUGCUCUUACGGGUGGCGAGUGGCGGACGGGUGAGGAAUACAUCGGAAUCUACUUUUUCGUGGGGGAUAGCGUAGGGAAACUUACGCUAAUACCGCAUACGACCUACGGGUGAAAGCAGGGGAUCUUCGGUCCUUGCGCGAUUGAAUGAGCCGAUGUCGGAUUAGCUAGUUGGCGGGGUAAAGGCCCACCAAGGCGACGAUCCGUAGCUGGUCUGAGAGGAUGAUCAGCCACACUGGAACUGAGACACGGUCCAGACUCCUACGGGAGGCAGCAGUGGGGAAUAUUGGACAAUGGGCGCAAGCCUGAUCCAGCCAUACCGCGUGGGUGAAGAAGGCCUUCGGGUUGUAAAGCCCUUUUGUUGGGAAAGAAAAGCAGCAGGUUAAUACCCCGCUGUUCUGACGGUACCCAAAGAAUAAGCACCGGCUAACUUCGUG
RNAcentral lists this ribosomal RNA (492 nucleotides) under uncultured bacterium. RNAcentral describes it as "partial 16S ribosomal RNA". It matches the Rfam family "Bacterial small subunit ribosomal RNA", at positions 29 to 507 of the family's 1533-position model. The record is from RNAcentral.